GCAUCGAUUGCUCCGUGGCAAAGCGGUGUGGCGUUGACCCAUGCGGCCCGGGUUUGAGCCCCGUUCGAUGCA
Molecule: non-coding RNA, 72 nt
Organism: Phthorimaea operculella (potato tuberworm)
Lineage: Eukaryota; Metazoa; Arthropoda; Insecta; Lepidoptera; Gelechiidae
Source: the annotation of a GenBank genome assembly